GGAAGAGUGGUGAAAUGGUAGCCACACUUAUUUGCUAAAUAAGCGUCCGAAAGGGCUUGGGAGUUCAACCCUCCCCUCUUCCGCCA
Molecule: transfer RNA, 86 nt
Filed under: Caudoviricetes sp.
Lineage: Duplodnaviria; Heunggongvirae; Uroviricota; Caudoviricetes
Also listed under: 1 other name
Description: tRNA-Ser
Rfam family: tRNA
About the family: Transfer RNA (tRNA) molecules are approximately 80 nucleotides in length. Their secondary structure includes four short double-helical elements and three loops (D, anti-codon, and T loops).
Source: RNAcentral